CGUGUAGGCGGUUUGUUAAGUCUGGCGUGAAAGCUCUCGGCUAAACCGGGAGAGGUCGUUGGAUACUGGCAAACUUGAGGAUGGUAGAGGCGUGUGGAAUUCCGGGUGUAGUGGUGAAAUGCGUAGAGAUCCGGAGGAACACCAGUGGCGAAGGCGACACGCUGGGCCAUACCUGACGCUAAAGCGCGACAGCAUGGGGAGCAAACGGGAUUAGAAACCCCGGUAGUCCAUGCCGUAAACGAUGCCAGCUAGAUGUUCAGAGGGCGCAAGCCGUCGGGGUAUCGAAGCAAACGCGAUAAGCUGGCCGCCUGGGGAGUACGGUCGCAAGGCUAAA
This 334-nucleotide ribosomal RNA is filed under the name uncultured bacterium. RNAcentral's name for it is "bacterial SSU rRNA". It matches the Rfam family "Bacterial small subunit ribosomal RNA", at positions 568 to 898 of the family's 1533-position model. The record is from RNAcentral.